CUUCGUUCGGUAGGGAAAUCUGGCAGAAAAAAGUCUUUUUUUCUACUCAGUCGUCUUUUUACCCGCAGGUGUCGAGGUAUAUUAAGCGAUAAUUGUAAUUGCUGGUUCUACAGGCAACGUUCCAACAUCAAUGUUAGUGACAUAGAUGUAAAUGAGACAUUGUUUUAUAUUUAUCGUUCAUUUAACGACGAUUUAUCAGUAGCCCCAGACUAUGUAGCGUCCAAUAAGAGGAUAUAGUGAAUUGGAAAGGAUGUGGAAUGAAGCGUUCGUGGUCUAAUUUAAGGUAUCAUGGCAGGUCACAUAUGAGCAAGUGGAUGAGGUGAGGAGUACAAAUAAGAGACUUGAUCAUGCACUUUGGAAUGCAGACAGAUCAAUACUUAUUAAUUCAUGUAUUAUCUUUGAACAGAAAUGACCACACCAGACAUGGAUUGCACCUUACUUCAGAGAGUAAGGAGAAGUUUGUGCAACUCAUUUUCAAUUAUAUUAAGUGCAAAAUAAAUACUGAUAAGGUACCUGCAAUCAUUGGUGUAAGAUCUAGGAUUCUUUUAGGUUAAGGCCAAAUCUGUCACUAAAUACCUGAAAGAUAUCCACAUCAAUGCCAAGUCAGUUCUAAAUUCAGGAUACAUGCACACCCCCAUGUUCUGUGUUUAACCAACAGAUCUUACAGGUCUAUCUUGAAAAUUGUACUUCAGGAGCUAGUUUCUGUAAAGAACAUAUGGCAAAAGGUGAGUAUUUCUGUUAGAAAGAAUCUGAAAUUUAAUCAGCUAAAUGUGCUGUGACACUGCAAAGAACAAGACAUAGAAUGCUUUGUUAUGCAGUUGGAAUCUAAACUCUUCAACAUACAUGUCCUAGCUAUAUACAGAGCUCUCAGGUGAUUUCAAACUUUUCUUAAACAAGUCAGAGAGCGUUUUAAAUUAUUUUUAUAAACCUACAGCAGAAUUUGUCAUUUGUGAUAACAUUAAUGUCAUUUGUGAUAACAUUAAUGUCACCCUUGUUUGACUAGAGGUUAGCAUGCUCACCACUGAACCCAAGGUUUGCGGGUUCAAACCUGGCCGAGGUUGAUGGAUUUUUAACUAACUCCCUGGUAGCAGAACCCUCACGACAGCAAAGCCAGCCACCUUCCACGAGCCAACUCCAUUUGCCAUCCUCACAGCCUACCUCCCUAACAUCCAUCUUGAUGUUAUCCUUCUUUCUCCUUCUCGAUCUUCCCAGUGGUGGUGUUCCAAAAGGAUUCCCAACACUUGAAAUCUGCAUUCUUCCUUCAAAGUAAGAGAUCAUGUUUCACAACCAUACAAAACCACCAGCAAAAUUAUUGUUUUGUAUAUCCUGAUCUUCAGUGUUUUGGAUAGUAAACAGGAUGAUAACUGUUUUUGAAUGGAAUAAAAAAGCUUUCCCUGAAUGUAUCCUCUUAAUUUCGUCAAAAGAUGUGUUACAAUUAAGUACCGCCUUUGUUGCUGAUGUUGAUUCUGUAUUACACCCAUGUAUUUAGUUUUGUCUACAUUUACUUCUAGGCCUGUUUCCUUGCUAGUUUGUAGGAAAGUUUCUGCAUUCUUGGUUAUGGUACCCACAUCAUCCCUCAGCAAAUUGACAUCAUCAGCAUAGGCAAGUACCUGGUGCACACCAUUCAAUUCAAGCCCUUCCUGAUUCCCUCUGACCUUCCUGAUGACAUUGUCUAGAGCAAAAUUAAAAAGCACUGAGGAUGAAGCAUCCCCAUUUGAGGCCAUUUUGCACUGGGAAAGGAUCCAGCAGAAGGUUACCUAUAUGAACUCUACUAGAUUCCCCAUCCAUGCACACCUUAAUUAACCUAACAAGUUUCUUUGGUAUUCCAAACAAAAUCAAAAUGCCUUACAAGGGUGACCAAAAUCUGUAGCACAACUUCCUUAGGCGUGGAAGUAAAGCCGGCGGUCCCACAUCAUAGAUUUACAGCAUGUAAAAGAACCUAAUAAGAUGUUUUGUAAGCAAAAUUCAGCAGCUAUUUCUCCUAUCCUGAUUCUCUACUAGAUGGCUCUAACAGACAAAAUCAGGUGGAGAGGCGACAUACUUCUGUAUCAUUGUACUCUUUGAAAUAUAUGAAGGCACUGGUUGCCAGCAUCACUUCACACAUCAGACAUGCCUCGUCUUCAUCACAGUUAACACCAGAAAGCAGUUUUCUGGCAGUGAAAUCACUUCCAUAAUACUGAGAACAUUUUCACAUGCAUCCAUAUUCUGUUGUACUUGCCCCACAACAUAUCUGCAAAUAUAUCAUCUUAGGUGGCCCUACCAUGAUUUAUGGAUAGACCUGUUGGAGAAGCACAAGAUUCCCUAAAUGAAGUGUCACAUAGACCUGUAGAAGGAAAGCAACUGACAGUGCUGCUCUUCAGAACAUCUACAAACUGCUUCACAUAUGAAUUAUUAUUAUUUGAGCUAUAAUCUAAACAAAUAGAAGCAAAAAUGUUUUCAAGGGGAUCCUGAUUCAGACUUUGUUGGAUCUCAAGGUAGUCAGAUCCCACCUCUUUCACACAUGCUGGGCAACAGCAUUAUCAAUAAGCCACCAAUUAUAUUAAAUUUGGACAGACCAGUAGGAAAAGCUCUUUCCUAAUACAAGGUUAGAUUGAUCAGUCUAUGACAGCCAAGCAUGUGCACAGGAUAAUGAACCAGUAUUCAAAAUUUAAAAUUUGGGAAAAGUACAUGAAAUUACAAAGGUAAUUAAAAUAACCAGUUUUUUCUUACCUGCAACAGGAGGAAGGUACACCAAUAACAGUUCAUAACAUUAAAACUCAGUGUGUCAAAACAUCGCUUCGGGUGACCUCGGACUCAGCACAUCGGUUACAUUUGGACUGUAAACAUGGCUGCACUGCUGUUAAUUUGCACAAAGGAAAAACAGUUGCUGUGGUUUGUUUUUAUGGGUGGAGUGUGUGUGUGUGAAAGGAGUUGAAAUGCACAGGUGUUUAUCUGCUCAGUGAGGAAGAUUGGUGUAGUGUGUCUUUUGUUGCAUAACAAUUCCUGUCUUCAUUUUUCUGCUUAUACCAAGAAUAACUAUCAGAAACUGAAACUUGAAGCUUUCAACCACACUGCACCUUGAUUUUCAUGUUUGGGCAGAGGUGGUGGUGUUGAGAGUUCCCUGAUUUUCAGAUGACAAAGUGAAGGAAGCAAUGAAUGGCUGGCUGCUAUCUCAUCCAAAAAAAUGUUUAAGGUACAAAAGAACUUGUGGACUGCUGGAUUAAAGUGUAUUUGGAAGUAGGGAGUCUAUGUAGAAAAAUGAUUAACUGUAAAUGUUCAAAACAAAUAAAUUGUAGAAGAAAAUAAUU
Non-coding RNA from Zootermopsis nevadensis, 3287 nucleotides. The record is from RefSeq and is a predicted model, not a curated record. NCBI's taxonomy places the organism in Eukaryota, Metazoa, Arthropoda, Insecta, Blattodea, Termopsidae.